UGAGUUGACCAAUAGAACCACCCUCUAGGU
RNAcentral lists this non-coding RNA (30 nucleotides) under Mus musculus (house mouse). Lineage: Eukaryota; Metazoa; Chordata; Mammalia; Rodentia; Muridae. The record is from RNAcentral.